UAGUCCUAGCCCUAAACGAUGGGCACUAGCUAGGGGAGGUUUCGGCCUUCCCUGGCCCAGCAAAUGCGAUAAGUGCCCCGCCUGGGGAGUACGGUCGCAAGGCUAAAACUCAAAGGAAUUGACGGGGGCUCACACAAGCGGUGGAGCAUGUUGUUUAAUUCGAUGCAACGCGAAGAACCUUACCUGGGCCGGAAUGUGCGGAUGAAAGCUGUGGAAGCAGUGGACUGCCUUCGGGUGAAACGUGCACCGGUGUUGCAUGGCUGUCGUCAGCUCGUGUCGUGAGAUGUCGGGUUAAGUCCCAUAACGAGCGAAACCCCUAUCGUUAGUUGCCAGCGCGUAAUGGCGGGAACUCUAGCGAGACUGCCGUUGUCAAGACGGAGGAAGGUGGGGACGACGUCAAGUCAUCAUGGCCCGUAUGCCCAGGGGCUACAAACGUGCUACAAUGGUCGGGACAGAGGGAAGCGAAGUCGCGAGGGCGGGAGCAAAUCU
RNAcentral lists this ribosomal RNA (489 nucleotides) under uncultured bacterium. Its description in RNAcentral is "bacterial SSU rRNA". It matches the Rfam family "Bacterial small subunit ribosomal RNA", at positions 791 to 1274 of the family's 1533-position model. The record is from RNAcentral.